GAAGUGAGCUGCCAUGUACUAGGCCACGUGGCAAGGGCCUGGUUGGGGACCUCCAGGGGUUGAGAGCAUCCUCUGGACAACAUGGAAAAAGAAAAUGAAAAUGGUGACCUCAGCCCUAUAGCUAGAAGGAAUUGAAUCCUGUCAACAACGAUUGGGUUCUCGGUCUCGCUGACUUCAAGAAUGAAGCCGCAGACCCUCACGACUCAUCACUCACUGCAGAUGUUACUUUAAGACAUUCUGGAGCAGCGUCAUGUGCAGGAGAAAAUAGUAUCAUCUCAGCCUUCUAUGAAAUCAAGGCAAUAUUCAUGUGAAAGUAUAUUCCAAACCCAGAACCUGAGCACAGAUUGGGACUGAGAAACACUUGUCUAGAUUGUCAGGCAAUCUGUAACAUCAGCAGUGGAUGGAAAGAAGGAGAAAGAUGAGUUUUAUGGACGCUAACCCAUCUAUAUGGCUUUGGAAAAUAAAGUACUGCUGUUUUUUUUUGUAA
This 487-nucleotide long non-coding RNA is filed under the name Homo sapiens (human). RNAcentral's name for it is "HSALNT0325584". The record is from RNAcentral. Lineage: Eukaryota; Metazoa; Chordata; Mammalia; Primates; Hominidae.